AGAAUAGUAUUUUAAUAAAAAAAAAUUGAUCUGCAAUCAAAAAAUGCCUCUGCCUAUUCU
Molecule: transfer RNA, 60 nt
Filed under: Alectorobius capensis
Lineage: Eukaryota; Metazoa; Arthropoda; Arachnida; Ixodida; Argasidae
Description: tRNA-Ala
Source: RNAcentral